This is a long non-coding RNA of Cryptotermes secundus, 242 nucleotides long. RefSeq lists it as uncharacterized. The record is from RefSeq and is a predicted model, not a curated record. NCBI's taxonomy places the organism in Eukaryota, Metazoa, Arthropoda, Insecta, Blattodea, Kalotermitidae. The transcript has 4 exons.
GUUUCAGGCAAAUAUGAUAUAUCUUGGCAUUCUGUUGGUGACUUCAGUUGCAGUUGUGUCAGCUGUCAUGCUGGUGACUGGUUUGUCAACAUGGCCUUCACUAUUUGUCAAUGGAGAAUUAGAGGCAAAUAUGUCCAUUCUCGGAGUCACCUUGGUGAUUUUCAUUGGAGUUGUGUCAGUUGCCCAGAUUGUUACUGGUUUGCUAGGAUGGCAUUACUUCCAUAUUAAUGGAGGUUUAAACG